GACAAGUUGAGCUUCAGCUUAAGUAUAGAAACUCGGGAACAUUUUACUAUAAAGGAAUAGCCUUGGAAGAUCCUUAAAGAAGUAACAACAAAAGUAGCUGUGAGAAGAAGAUACUGUGAUUAACACUAGAAAACCUUAAAAAGUGAUCUCAGCAGCUUUGGAAACAUCUGCUUGCCAAAUCACACAGCAAUAUAUAUUGGGUGCAGUCUCUACAUGGCAUGCUGAGUUUAGGGAAAUCUGUGAGCUGCUUUCCUUUUCCACAAAAGGGGCUCAGGUUUCCCUGGUGUGCAUAAUGGCACGUUUCAGGACCUGAGAUUACAGGAGUACAUGGGGAUUUGG
This 339-nucleotide long non-coding RNA is filed under the name Ursus maritimus (polar bear). Its description in RNAcentral is "lncRNA (ENSUMAG00000005535.1)". Lineage: Eukaryota; Metazoa; Chordata; Mammalia; Carnivora; Ursidae. The record is from RNAcentral.